CCCCUCUCAGGGUCGCACCUGGAGAGUUUCCAGUCCUCUACCAGUCUCGGCUACGGGAGGGAGAGUCAACCAGAGGCCUACCCAUUCCGUUGCUAGCUUGGCAGGUGGCUAGCGAGUGGAAGGCCAUCUGCUACAAGU
RNAcentral lists this small nucleolar RNA (138 nucleotides) under Ornithorhynchus anatinus (platypus). The record is from RNAcentral. Lineage: Eukaryota; Metazoa; Chordata; Mammalia; Monotremata; Ornithorhynchidae.